UACAGAGGGUGCAAGCGUUAAUCGGAUUUACUGGGCGUAAAGGGCGCGUAGGUGGUUACUUAAGUGAGAUGUGAAAUCCCCGGGCUUAACCUGGGAACUGCAUCUUAUACUGGGUAACUGGAGUGCAGUAGAGGGUAGUGGAAUUUCCGGUGUAGCGGUGAAAUGCGUAGAUAUCGGAAGGAACACCAGUGGCGAAGGCGGCUACCUGGACUGAGACUGACACUGAGGCGCGAGAGCGUGGGGAGCAAACAGG
RNAcentral lists this ribosomal RNA (253 nucleotides) under uncultured bacterium. Its description in RNAcentral is "partial 16S ribosomal RNA". It matches the Rfam family "Bacterial small subunit ribosomal RNA", at positions 524 to 776 of the family's 1533-position model. The record is from RNAcentral.